This 382-nucleotide ribosomal RNA is filed under the name Escherichia coli. Its description in RNAcentral is "bacterial SSU rRNA". It matches the Rfam family "Bacterial small subunit ribosomal RNA", at positions 1151 to 1532 of the family's 1533-position model. Lineage: Bacteria; Pseudomonadati; Pseudomonadota; Gammaproteobacteria; Enterobacterales; Enterobacteriaceae. The record is from RNAcentral.
GCCAGUGAUAAACUGGAGGAAGGUGGGGAUGACGUCAAGUCAUCAUGGCCCUUACGACCAGGGCUACACACGUGCUACAAUGGCGCAUACAAAGAGAAGCGACCUCGCGAGAGCAAGCGGACCUCAUAAAGUGCGUCGUAGUCCGGAUUGGAGUCUGCAACUCGACUCCAUGAAGUCGGAAUCGCUAGUAAUCGUGGAUCAGAAUGCCACGGUGAAUACGUUCCCGGGCCUUGUACACACCGCCCGUCACACCAUGGGAGUGGGUUGCAAAAGAAGUAGGUAGCUUAACCUUCGGGAGGGCGCUUACCACUUUGUGAUUCAUGACUGGGGUGAAGUCGUAACAAGGUAACCGUAGGGGAACCUGCGGUUGGAUCACCUCCUU